Molecule: long non-coding RNA, 331 nt
Filed under: Salvia miltiorrhiza (redroot sage)
Lineage: Eukaryota; Viridiplantae; Streptophyta; Magnoliopsida; Lamiales; Lamiaceae
Description: long non-coding RNA (SMIL_LNC013393)
Source: RNAcentral
UUCUUGGCAUAGUGUAGUAGUGGCUUUUUUGUGGUUGUAAUAUGAAAUGUUAGCUUUUUUUUGUGGUUGUAGCACAAUAGCAGUGAUUUUUUUUUUUUUUUGUAGCAGAUGAGUUUUGGUUUGAAAUUAAAAUGGUUCCCUAUUUAUAAAGGGCUAAAAUGUAAAAUGUCUGGGAAAUUUGAAUUUCCCAAAUUUUCAAUGAAUUGGUUUAUUUUGAAAUUAUGCCGGCUUCAAUUUAAAUUUCUGCACAUAUUUUAAUCUUUGCAUUUGUAGGUCCUUUACACGCGGAUGGGAUCCAAUGUCCCAUAAUUUUAUGUGUGUCACUGUGUCC